GGUCGAAAUCUAGUUGAAAGUUAAAUUACCUUUACAAGAGAAUUAGCUUCUUCGGAUUUAAGAUUGAUUAUCAGGUAAAUAGUUUUUCUUCUAUUUUUUAUAUUUUUAAAAAGUUAUACCAAAACCCAAUGAACAAGUAACUUCGUUAUAAAAAAAACACUAUCAUAGGCUCAUAGCCUCUUGUCUUUUUGCCAAUAGCAUAUAAAAAUUGUCCUGUAUAAUAAUAUGUAUAACUUAAAACCGAACCGAUAUCCAGAUUAAACAGAUUUAAUAUCUCUUUACUAAAAAAUAACAACGCUAAUAAUCACAUCUCCCGC
This 317-nucleotide long non-coding RNA is filed under the name Brassica napus (rape). Its description in RNAcentral is "long non-coding RNA (BNAP_LNC000622)". The record is from RNAcentral. Lineage: Eukaryota; Viridiplantae; Streptophyta; Magnoliopsida; Brassicales; Brassicaceae.